GAGUUUGAUCUUGGCUCAGGAUGAACGCUAGCGGCAGGCCUAACACAUGCAAGUCGAGGGGUAGAGUUAGCUUGCUAACUUGAGACCGGCGCACGGGUGCGUAACGCGUAUGCAAUCUACCUUGUACAGGGGGAUAGCCCAGAGAAAUUUGGAUUAAUACCCCAUAGUGUUAUGAUGUGGCAUCACAUUAUAACUAAAGUUCCAACGGUACAAGAUGAGCAUGCGUCCCAUUAGCUAGUUGGUGUGGUAACGGCAUACCAAGGCAAUGAUGGGUAGGGGUCCUGAGAGGGAGAUCCCCCACACUGGUACUGAGACACGGACCAGACUCCUACGGGAGGCAGCAGUGAGGAAUAUUGGUCAAUGGGCGCAAGCCUGAACCAGCCAUGCCGCAUGCAGGAUGAACGGUCCUAUGGAUUGUAAACUGCUUUUGUACGGGAAGAAACACUCCUACGUGUAGGAACUUGACGGUACCGUAAGAAUAAGGAUCGGCUAACUCCGUGCCAGCCGCC
Molecule: ribosomal RNA, 509 nt
Filed under: uncultured Flavobacterium sp.
Lineage: Bacteria; Pseudomonadati; Bacteroidota; Flavobacteriia; Flavobacteriales; Flavobacteriaceae
Description: bacterial SSU rRNA
Rfam family: Bacterial small subunit ribosomal RNA
Source: RNAcentral